Molecule: long non-coding RNA, 1833 nt
Organism: Armigeres subalbatus
Lineage: Eukaryota; Metazoa; Arthropoda; Insecta; Diptera; Culicidae
Exons: 6
Source: RefSeq, a predicted model, not a curated record
AUUGCCAUUUUCAGAUUAUUCACAGAACUCGUAUUGCCUUAUAAUUUUCUUUUUCUCCUCUUCUUCUAUUUUUUUACGGAUCAUCACUUCCACUACUCCACUUCUUCUUCUAAUUCUUCCCCCUCCUAACACGUAUGGCUACGAUAGCCUUCUCAGAUUUCAAUCCGAGAAAUUACAACUAAACCGAACCGAAGCUAAUAACUUCACUGUCAAGUGACGACUCGACCAAACUACGCGACGUACCGAAUUAAACUGAAGCUAAUUGCUUCUAUUUCAGAUAACCAUCCGAAAAAUAUUGCCUAAACCUAUCCCUAUAUUACUCCCACACACCUUUAUAUCGCCUACUUCUAGUGAUGAUCCGAUAUUCCAAUCGCGACGCAUUUGUUCGUACUGCCAGCAUUACUACCACUUUCUCAUGAAAUCCCUAUGAUUUCCUCUUCUCUAUACUGUCAGUCAGUUUACCGUCGCGAAUUACUACGAUCAGUCCGAGUUCGUCGCGAAAUUUUUGAACUUGUGGCUAACGAUUAAAGGUGAAACUAGUGAAUAUUAUUACAAACUAUUUGAAAGUGCUGUCGAAUAUUUGGGAAUACUGUGGAGUGAUUUAGAAUUAAGUGUACGAAGGUGUCCAGGAAAUUAUCGGUUUCGAGAUGGGCUAAGGUUAUUUAGUGUUCUAUUUUAUCAUUGAAAAACAAUCUCGAAUGCUCAUCGCGAAUGGGCUCGACAACGGAGGAAACAGCGAACUGACGUCUCGACGUUGGAGUUACAGGUCUAAGUCCACCGUAAGAACAUCGACGUCAACAGCUCUCGACAACGCGUCUGCAAUGACGUUCAGCUUCCCCUUCCGAUACUCCAGACUAAAGUCAUGCUGCUGCAGCUUAAGGGCCCAUCGCGCUAGACGAGCAGAGUUUCCUUCGAUGCUGAUUUGGUUCAACCAUCUUAGCGACUGUGCGUCGGUAACUACGCGAAACUUUGUUCCUUCGACGAAGUGUCGGAACUUUUCGAUGGCGAGGAUCACUGCAAGGCACUCCCGCUCGGUCGCUGAAUAUUUCAUCUGGGUGGCGGAGAACUUGCGAGAGAAGAACGCGAUAGGUCGCCGUACUCCUUCUUGGUAUUGAACUAAUACCGCUCCAGCUGCGACUGCAGACGCAUCGGAUUCAAUAACAAACUGCUGGUUGAAGUCCGGGUUCGAAAGGACUGGAGGUGCCGUCCGACCGAUCAACGAAUUUAAUAACGAAAGAUGGUUCCUAAACGUAUCCCAAUUCAAAUAUAUACAGCAGCUAAACCGCCGCCGCCGACAGAGGAGCAUCCCGUCAUCAUCGUCGUCAUCCCGGGCAUGAAACAUAUCUCGCAAACAUCGCCGGCCGGCCGUGUGGUCGGGGCAGGUAAUGGGAUCGGAGCGCGACGAGCAACGCGAAAAAGCAGCAUAAAAGCAGAAGCAACAACAGUUGACAGUGAAACGACUCAAGCCGCAUAUCAUCAGCUCAUAAUUCGUGACAUGAGUUAAAAUUUUUAAAAUUAAUACGACGUGCAACAGCGUACACAGACAGGCAACCGUGACAGCUCCCCGUGAGGUAGAGGUAAACGACUACAGCUUUUACGGUGAACCGGGCAUGGCAGACCGGGAUAAGAGGAACCAAACUACAAUAACAACAACGACGACGACCCAACGAAGAUAGACAGACAGGCUGUGAGAGCCAAAGCAGCUGUUGAUGCCACAUUUCAUUUACGAAAACAUGUUUAUUUUCAAUUAAUGGGGAAAUAGAAGCGAUUUUUAAUCAAAGGGAUGGAACAUAAAUCCGACUUGAGGACAUUUUUCUUAUUUUGAAUUGAUAU